Molecule: ribosomal RNA, 253 nt
Filed under: uncultured bacterium
Lineage: Bacteria
Description: partial 16S ribosomal RNA
Rfam family: Bacterial small subunit ribosomal RNA
Source: RNAcentral
UACGUAGGGGGCUAGCGUUGUUCGGAAUUACUGGGCGUAAAGGGCGCGUAGGCGGCACUGUAAGUCAGGAGUGAAAGCCCGGGGCUCAACCCCGGAAUGUCUUUUGAAACUGCCGAGCUAGAGUGCGGAAGAGGCAACUGGAAUUCCCAGUGUAGCGGUGAAAUGCGUAGAUAUUGGGAAGAACACCUGAGGCGAAGGCGGGUUGCUGGGCCGACACUGACGCUGAGGCGCGAAAGCCAGGGGAGCGAACGGG